GACAGAGGGGGCAAGCGUUGCCCGGAAUUACUGGGCGUAAAGGGCUCGUAGGCGGCCAACUAAGUCGGAUGUGAAAUCCCCAGGCUCAACUUGGGAACUGCAUCCGAUACUGGAUGGCUUGAAUUCGGGAGAGGGAUGCAGAAUUCCAGGUGUAGCGGUGAAAUGCGUAGAUAUCUGGAGGAAUGCCGGUGGCGAAGGCGGCAUCCUGGACCGACAUUGACGCUGAGGAGCGAAAGCGUGGGGAGCAAACAGG
Molecule: ribosomal RNA, 253 nt
Filed under: uncultured bacterium
Lineage: Bacteria
Description: partial 16S ribosomal RNA
Rfam family: Bacterial small subunit ribosomal RNA
Source: RNAcentral